CUGCACUCGCGCGCAGCCCAGCUGCACUUCCUAUCGCGCGGGAGACGCUCCCCAGUUUCAGCAGCCACAGAGAACAAGGUAACUUUAAACACUGCUAACAACAGAAGAAAGAACCACUGUUGUGUGUGCUCGUCUGCGAGGAUUGACGUAUGGCCAGGAUCAGGUAUCGGAAGCCGGGUCCCACCAGUGAACAAUUUCUGUAGUGUUGCAUAUGAACAACGUCCAGGGAGGCCAACCAUAACAACACACACUGUGCAACGUGUAGAGAAUGCCAUUACAAGCAGCCCUUCCGCAUAUACCAGAAAACUGUCUAGGGAUCUAGGGGUUGCACAAAGCACUAUGUGGAAAACUCUACGCUACACAUUGCAGAAACGUGUGUAUCACAUACAGGUUGUGUAUAAUCUUGAAGCAGAGUACAAUGCAGCCAGGGAAGCGAUGUGUUGUGACCUUCUAGAUGCUGUAGAAAUUUAUAAUAUUAUGCAUCAUGUCCUCUUCAGUGAUGAAGCUACAUUCCACACGCGUGGUCACGUGAACAGACACACUUGUAGGAUCUUGACUAACGAGCAGCCUAAUGCAGGAGUGGCAACGCGACACACACAAGGAGGUAGCAGCACCCCAUUUCGCCCUGAUUGUUCGGGACUACCUCGAUCAGCUCUCACUGGCAGAUGGACUGGUCGGGGCUCGCCAUGAGUGUGGGCUUCACGGUCACCAGUGACCUCUGGGACACAGAAGCCCAGUAAGGCUGAGUCAGGCCGGGGUCGAACUCAGCCCGGAGGAAGGCAUAGAGUCGUGAUGGGCCAGGGUGCGGGAGAUAACUCGCGGCGAUGAGAACCCGUGACGUAAUGGCAUCUCUGGUGAGUUUCUUCCAGCACCUGAAUUAUACACAAUACAGUCACAUCCAUUACGAACAAAAUACUAUACCUAAAAAGUGUAGACUGAGAUCACGCAUUUAAAUUUUAAUUGACUUAACAUAAAAUUUUGAUUUUAGAAAUAGCCACGAGAAAUAUACGGUGUUCAUAAAAGAAUGACCCAGUUUCAAUGGUACAUUAUCAUUAAAGUUUUAUUUAGAUUAUUUGCAA
This is a long non-coding RNA of Bacillus rossius redtenbacheri, 1079 nucleotides long. RefSeq lists it as uncharacterized. The record is from RefSeq and is a predicted model, not a curated record. The transcript is spliced from 4 exons. NCBI's taxonomy places the organism in Eukaryota, Metazoa, Arthropoda, Insecta, Phasmatodea, Bacillidae.